RNAcentral lists this long non-coding RNA (1357 nucleotides) under Equus caballus (horse). RNAcentral's name for it is "lncRNA (ENSECAG00000044454.1)". The record is from RNAcentral. Lineage: Eukaryota; Metazoa; Chordata; Mammalia; Perissodactyla; Equidae.
CCUUAGUGAUGAGGAUUUUUAGGCUGCUUAAUUUUAAAAUGGCUUAUGAUGAGGAUUUUUAGGCUGGUUAGUUUUAAAACUACAGAUGAGAUUCAGGCUCCAAGGAGUGGAAUUUGUUUGCCUCUUUGUUGGGAAACAUUUACAUUUCUAAGGGAAACCUCUAUCUGUGAAGAUGCCUCCCUCUCUGUGCCAGGAAGAGGGGGGGAUGGUCUUAUCUCUAGAGGCUCUUGGUCAAUGCCAGAGGCAAGAACUUAAGUUGGUUACUGUCUGGCAACCUCAUGUGACUGACCCUCCCCCCCACAAAUCCUCCUUUGUCUUUAGCUGAGGAUAAAAUUCAAGCGGUGACUUCUGCCAUUUACUCAAUCCGGUUUGAUUCUUAUCUACCAUUUUAACUUUUUUACAUAUUCUUUGUCUUGUAAAGAGAUGACUCACAUACCUAUGCCUUAAAUUUAGUCCUAACCCUCAAGUCGGGGCAGCAGCAGGAGCUCUGACUGCCCGUGGGUCCUGUCCCCACGCACCAGCUCUGCCUGCCCAUGGGUCCUGUCCCCAUGCCAGCGGGGGCAGCAGCAGCAGCUCUGCCUGCCCAUGGGCUCUGUCCCCGUACCAGCGGGGGCAGCAGAAGCUCUGACUGCCCAUGGGUCCUGUCCCCAUGCUAUUCCACACUAUUCUCUAAAUAAAAGAGCACUACUGCCAGAUCUUGAGAGUCUAAGAAAUCUUUCUUUCGACUCCUCGGCUCACCGACCCCGCAUCACUUAGCAUGGUGCUUCUUUCUUGUUUCUCAGUCUCCCUUAGAGUCUUAGCUCCUGCAAAUUUCUCAAGAGCACCUUGAAAUUCAGAGAUGCCAAUUUCUAGUCCUUUAAGGCAUCAUACUGUUUACUUCUCUGUGAAGGUAUGUGCCAUCCUUUCUGCAUGGCAUGCUUUCUUCUUAUCCUUCCCAUCUCUGCACAACUUAUUUUCUUAUCAGGUGGAGUAUAUUCUACUCCUACUCAUCAUUAAAGAUUCAACUCUGGAGCAAACCUUUUCAAUAGUUUUCCUAACACUCCUGAAAUCUCCCUCUCUGUCUCAAUUCCAUCCGCUGGUUUCCAUUGCAUUCAGUGUUCACCUUUAACUGUACAUUACCUUAGUGUGGUGUAAUUUCGUCUUAACUGUGACACGCUUGAGGGAAAGUACUUUGUAUCCCCAGCACCUGGAAUAGUACCUGGCACAAACAUGGCAUUCAGAAAGACCUGUGAAAUGAACGACCAUGUUCAAUGCUCCCACGGGAAAUGGAAGAAAUAAGAGGGAAGAAGAACAGAAGAUGGAAAGCGACUUGUGACUUGUGAACCUGUGAACAGAGGAAGGAAAAGGAAAGAAUGAA